CUCCCCGAUGCUCUGUCUUGGGGGCCGCGGCACUCACACAGAUCUAGUGCAGUCAAAGCAAGCGGCCCAAGAACUAGCCCCCCAAAAUACCGAAAUUGGGGAGACCAAAUUAAAAGCAGCUGUUUAACAUACCUCCGGAACCAGACGAGGAGUCCUGAAUGGGAGGGAACGCCCCCCACUAGCCAUUGGCUUGCCUGCGCACACGUCAGUCCCACUGGAUCCGCCUCCUUUCCCCGCCCCUUCCCCUUCAUUGAUCGCCCAUUGCCUCCACAAAAAUAAAAAUAAAUAAUUAAACUAUCCACGAGUAAGAGUCGCCUCCAAAGCAGAGACUAUUACAUCUCCCACACCGCCACUUUGAGUUUUUCGAGGACUUCGAACUAGACCUUUUGGGAUUCGGAGUUCCGCAGGAUGGAAGCUAAAGGAGGUGCAUCUUAACUACCCGGCCCCAGUUUCCUCCACACACACAAGCCAUUUGGAGCUGGGUCAGGAGAAACCUGUAACAGUCUGUGGCCCUACCACUUGGACGCAUCAGAUCUCAGAAGUUAAGCAAGGUCCGGUUUGGUUAACACUCGGUUGGAUUAGCGAUUAGUCACCGUGAGGAAGCCAAAUCGGAUCCGAGAGUCUUUUUCUAAAGGCCAGUACUGGCCACAUUUUCUCCUGCCGCCUUCCUCAAAGCUGAAGACAUACAGAGCAAGUUAAGCCUUCGCUCUUCAACCAGCUGCAGCAAUAUGAAUGAACAGAAGAGCAGUCAAAAGAAGGAGGAAAUGGAAAGCAAAGGGAACUGGUAAUGCAGCAGCCAGAACAGCACCUUUCCCAUUUAGACAAGGUGAGCUGCUGGCAUUUCCCAGCAUGUCCUUUAGUGAAUACAGCCAGACCCCAGAAUAUGCUUUAACUAGCACUGGGUCCCUAUAAUUACGGAUUAACUAUCUAUCUGCAAGGCUGACAUGACCUCCAGCAUGUCCUAGUAUGUUAACUAGAAAUGUGCAUGGCUUUCCUAACCUUCGAGCUUAGGGCAGGGAAUCAAUGGAUAAAAGUAGACUAAC
Molecule: long non-coding RNA, 1043 nt
Organism: Grammomys surdaster
Lineage: Eukaryota; Metazoa; Chordata; Mammalia; Rodentia; Muridae
Exons: 3
Source: RefSeq, a predicted model, not a curated record